This is a small nuclear RNA of Lemur catta (Ring-tailed lemur), 103 nucleotides long. NCBI's taxonomy places the organism in Eukaryota, Metazoa, Chordata, Mammalia, Primates, Lemuridae. The record is from RefSeq and is a predicted model, not a curated record.
GUACUUGCUUUGGCAGUACAUAUACUAAAAUUGGAAUGAUACAGAGAUUAGCAUGGCCCCUGCGCAGGGUGAUGUGCAAAUUCGUGAAGCGUUCCAUUAAAAA